GUGGCUGAGCUGUGUGUGCAGAGAGCACCUUUCUCUCUCCUUGGGAAGCCCUUUGAAUGUAGAAACUCUGCAUUCCUCAUUCCUGUGCCCUCCCUCUCCCCAGUGGCUAGGACUUAACACCAAAGGGUGCUCAGGAAACAAAUGGAAGCAGGGCACUAACCAACUCCAGGAGGACUGGGAGCAUGUUUCCCGCUGAAUCCCUGCCAUCUUGACCACUGCCUGGCAAGAGAAGACACUCUACCAACAUUUUUUUAGUGCUGCAUCCCUUGGAGGGCAUGAGGCAAGGCCACGUGAGACACAGUCGGUGCUAGAUUCCUGGAGGCAGAGCUGAGGGUAGGUCUUGAAACCAGCGAGGGUAGCAAGCAGAGGAAGAUGACGAUCCAUUCCUCUUCUGAUCUUCACUAUAAGGGGCACCAAGCCCUGGGUCAUGACAAGGUCUUAUAUUUAGCAUGGACUUGCAACCAAAGGUAAGCUCCACGAGGGCAAGGAUUUAUGGCCUUUUUCUUCCAUGGAUGACUCUGAAACGCCUAGAACAGUACCUGGCACACAGUAGGUGCUCCACUAAUGCUGAAUGAAUGAUGCAUGUGGAAGGCUGAGUCUGGUUCCCACAACACAGUAGUAGCUCAAUAAUGAUAGCAUAUAACAUUAUUAUUUAAUUAUUAUUAAAUUGCCUCAAGCAAUUUUGUGUCCACUGUCUGUCAGGACUGGAUGGGACCAGAUGCCAUUAACUACAUACUCAGUCCUCCCAACAACCAAGUAUAAGGCAGG
RNAcentral lists this long non-coding RNA (768 nucleotides) under Homo sapiens (human). RNAcentral describes it as "HSALNT0276270". Lineage: Eukaryota; Metazoa; Chordata; Mammalia; Primates; Hominidae. The record is from RNAcentral.